This is a small nuclear RNA of Nannospalax galili (Upper Galilee mountains blind mole rat), 103 nucleotides long. The record is from Ensembl. NCBI's taxonomy places the organism in Eukaryota, Metazoa, Chordata, Mammalia, Rodentia, Spalacidae.
UCACUUCAGCAGUGCAUAUACUAAAAUUGGAAUGAUAUAGAGAAGAUUGGCAUGUCCCCUGUGCAAAGAUGACACACAAAUCUUUGAAGCGUUCCAUAUUUUU